CAUAUUCUACUAAAACAAAAAACAUUUCAACUCUUUUAACACACACUCUCUCUCUCUCUCCAUGUGUUCGAGCUAACCAGAAGCAAACGUUCGAACAUGGCCGCAAAGCUAAAUGUGCGAUUCCAAUCACAGGGUUGAAGAAAUGGAUAUUAGUUCCUCGAUGAUACAGAAGUCGGUCAGUUUCCCGUCACGCACAACCAAAGUAUUGCUGCUUCAGCUCCGACAGUGGGUGGCUAUCAGAGCUAUUAGAAACCUAUAAUAGUGCAAAAGCAGACUUAAAGGAGAAAUGUAACUUUUCAUGUUUGAAGCAAUAUAAAAACACAAGGAAUCUUCACCUUCAGAUUCAUAGGACAAAAGUUCACUAUUGGGUUUUUUCCUUGACUUUAUUUUACUAGGAAUCCUCACCUUAUCAUGUCACUUUGGUUUCUGCUCUACCUGUCAGGAUUUUCUACUAAAUUAUGUUGCAAAUAUGUUUGUAUGGAUGAUGUGCUUUGGUUUA
Molecule: long non-coding RNA, 499 nt
Organism: Medicago truncatula (barrel medic)
Lineage: Eukaryota; Viridiplantae; Streptophyta; Magnoliopsida; Fabales; Fabaceae
Exons: 3
Source: RefSeq, a predicted model, not a curated record